AAACCAGCACCUCAAGUGGUCAGGAUGAUUAUUGGGCCUAAAGCAUCCGUAGCCGGCUCUGUAAGUUUUCGGUGAAAUCUGUACGCUCAACGUACAGGCUGCUGGGAAUACUGCAGGGCUAGGGAGUGGGAGAGAUAGACGGUACUCGGGAGGAAGUGGUAAAAUGCUUUGAUCUCUCGAUGACCACCUGUGGCGAAGGCGGUCUAUCAGAACACGUCCGACGGUGAGGGAUGAAAGCUGGGGGAGCAAACCGGAUUAGAUACCCGGGUAGUCC
RNAcentral lists this ribosomal RNA (274 nucleotides) under uncultured bacterium. Its description in RNAcentral is "partial 16S ribosomal RNA". It matches the Rfam family "Archaeal small subunit ribosomal RNA", at positions 473 to 747 of the family's 1478-position model. The record is from RNAcentral.